AUUGAACGCUGGCGGCAGGCUUAACACAUGCAAGUCGAGCGGAGCGAGGGUGCUUGCACCUUAGCUUAGCGGCGGACGGGUGAGUAAUGCUUAGGAAUCUGCCUAUUAGUGGGGGACAACAUUCCGAAAGGAAUGCUAAUACCGCAUACGCCCUACGGGGGAAAGCAGGGGAUCAUCGGACCUUGCGCUAAUAGAUGAGCCUAAGUCGGAUUAGCUAGUUGGUGGGGUAAAGGCCUACCAAGGCGACGAUCUGCAGCGGGUCUGAGAGGAUGAUCCGCCACACUGGGACUGAGACACGGCCCAGACUCCUACGGGAGGCAGCAGUGGGGAAUAUUGGACAACGGGCGGAAGCCUGAUCCAGCCAUGCCGCGUGUGUGAAGAAGGCCUUUUGGUUGUAAAGCACUUUAAGCGAGGAGGAGGCUACUUAGAUUAAUACUCUGGGAUAGUGGACGUUACUCGCAGAAUAAGCACCGGCUAACUCUGUGCCAGCCGCCGCGGUAA
Molecule: ribosomal RNA, 501 nt
Filed under: uncultured bacterium
Lineage: Bacteria
Description: partial 16S ribosomal RNA
Rfam family: Bacterial small subunit ribosomal RNA
Source: RNAcentral